GCGAUAAUGGUAUAGUGGUGCGCAUAGCUACCUUCUAAGCAGUUGACCCGCGUUCGAUUCCCGGCCAUCGCA
RNAcentral lists this transfer RNA (72 nucleotides) under Scophthalmus maximus (turbot). It matches the Rfam family "tRNA". Rfam says of the family: Transfer RNA (tRNA) molecules are approximately 80 nucleotides in length. Their secondary structure includes four short double-helical elements and three loops (D, anti-codon, and T loops). The record is from Rfam by way of RNAcentral. Lineage: Eukaryota; Metazoa; Chordata; Actinopteri; Pleuronectiformes; Scophthalmidae.